This 388-nucleotide ribosomal RNA is filed under the name uncultured bacterium. Its description in RNAcentral is "bacterial SSU rRNA". It matches the Rfam family "Bacterial small subunit ribosomal RNA", at positions 28 to 418 of the family's 1533-position model. The record is from RNAcentral.
GACGAACGCUGGCGACGUGCUUAACACAUGCAAGUCGAGCGGUAAGGCCCUUUCGGGGGUACACGAGCGGCGAACGGGUGAGUAACACGUGGGUGACCUGCCCUUAGCUCUGGGAUAAGCCUGGGAAACUGGGUCUAAUACCGGAUAUGACUCCAUGACGCAUGUUGUGGGGUGGAAAGCCUUGUGCGGCUAGGGAUGGGCCUGCGGCCUAUCAGCUUGUUGGUGGGGUGAUGGCCUACCAAGGCGACGACGGGUAGCCGGCCUGAGAGGGCGACCGGCCACACUGGGACUGAGACACGGCCCAGACUCCUACGGGAGGCAGCAGUGGGGAAUCUUGCGCAAUGGGCGAAAGCCUGACGCAGCGACGCCGCGUGGGGAUGACGGCCUC